RNAcentral lists this ribosomal RNA (78 nucleotides) under Cryobacterium sp. SO1. Lineage: Bacteria; Bacillati; Actinomycetota; Actinomycetes; Micrococcales; Microbacteriaceae. The record is from RNAcentral.
CGGCGGCUAUAGCAAGAGGGAAACGCCCGGUCACAUUCCGAACCCGGAAGCUAAGACUCUUUGCGCCGAUGGUACUGC